UACAGAGGUCCCAAGCGUUAUCCGGAUUCAUUGGGUUUAAAGGGAGCGUAGGUGGUCUUCUAAGUCAGUGGUGAAAUCUCUCGGCUUAACUGAGAAAUUGCCAUUGAUACUGGGAGACUUGAGUGUAGUUGCCGUUGGCGGAAUAUGACAUGUAGUGGUGAAAUACAUAGAGAUGUCAUAGAACACCGAUUGCGAAGGCAGCUAACGAAACUAUAACUGACACUGAGGCUCGAAAGUGCGGGGAUCAAACAGG
This 253-nucleotide ribosomal RNA is filed under the name uncultured bacterium. RNAcentral describes it as "partial 16S ribosomal RNA". It matches the Rfam family "Bacterial small subunit ribosomal RNA", at positions 524 to 776 of the family's 1533-position model. The record is from RNAcentral.